UAAAGGAAUGCCUUGGGAGGAAAGCUCUUCCUCCUCCUGGGAAACCUUCCAGGAGAAGCUGGAUGAGCCAUGUUCGGGGACAUUGCUGGGGAAAUUUCUGGUCAGCGCCAUGUUGUACAAAAUGACCCUUGAGGUUCCUGGCGACUUGGAGAAUCUUUGUCGAUGACUUUUCCCUCGGACUCUAUGCAUGAGGCCGGGGUGAUUUCCUGUGACUUGGGGGUAUUCCCAGGCUACCUGCUGCUCAUAUUUGAACUUGUACCAGGGCAUAGUGCUGGUAUAUCCUGAGAUAAUACCAGGAGUCCUCCAAGAAAAAAAAAGGAAAAAAAAACAGGCAAAAUGUGACACAGAAUCUCCCAACGGGAAGGGACCUCAGACACCAGCUUGUGAAAGUCAAUCCUGAGCAAGGAUUCCUUUAGCAGCAUGCCUGAAGAAUUCUGAGAUGGCUCCAGGGACUUCACCGACCACCAAAGGGCCACACCAUGUGACUAAGUGGAAACAGGAUCAUUCUGCCACCAACAGCAGCUGGACCAAGCACAUGACCUUGAUGUGAACUGCUCCCCAGAAUUGACUGGCACAGGACAGGUGAGAGAUAAAGACAAGACAGAAAUGCCCAGAGAAGUUGGAGAAGACACCAUUGAGACAAUGGAAUGUCCACUAACGCUUCGAGACUUCAGAACUCUGAUCAAUGUUGGAACCACGUGAGAG
Vombatus ursinus (common wombat) is the source of this 705-nucleotide long non-coding RNA. RefSeq lists it as uncharacterized. The transcript has 4 exons. The record is from RefSeq and is a predicted model, not a curated record. NCBI's taxonomy places the organism in Eukaryota, Metazoa, Chordata, Mammalia, Diprotodontia, Vombatidae.